Molecule: long non-coding RNA, 187 nt
Organism: Ictidomys tridecemlineatus (thirteen-lined ground squirrel)
Lineage: Eukaryota; Metazoa; Chordata; Mammalia; Rodentia; Sciuridae
Source: RefSeq, a predicted model, not a curated record
GUCCAUCACAUUCCACCUGUGAUCCUCCUCCUCCAGCCUCCUCGGUCACUGGGAUUACAGUGCUGAGGAUGGAACCUAGGACAUGCUAGGCAUAUGCUCUACCACAGAGAUACGCACAGAUAUUCACUUUUUGAAAGACAUCAGAGUUCCAGAUUUGGCAAUUAUGAAUAAAGAUGCUAUAAACAUU